UUCUUUUUGUCUAAGUGAACCAUAGAUCAAUUAAUCAAAUGGGACUUUUGCUUGAGCUCCCCCUCCCUAAAGGAAAUCACUUUGCAUAUGUUCUAACUUCUAACCUUAAGCUCACUUUUCUUGAAAUUGAAAAAGAAGACAUAAGAUAAAUAGGAAGACUUGAGAAUGUGCUUUCAAUGAAGGUUAGUUUUCCUCCUUUUGAAAGGUAUUGUCUCCUCCACAAAGCGAGCCUUCUCUAAAAUUUCUCCAUCACAUCUCACACCCUCACUGAUUUGUAAGGAGCUCCCAAGGGGAGGUCCAAGGAAGUAGUGGGUAGGAUUCUAACCUUACAACCUAACACCAAAGUAAGACCCUCCGCAUUGCAACUUUGCUUAUUGGUAUUAACUGAUGUUUUUCCAUUUUAUUUUUAAAGCCUAAUAUAAUCUCAAACCACAUGAAUUUCUUGCUUAGAUACUCUAAUUUCUCUUGAUUUACAUUUUCAAAAAAAUUAGUGUCAUCAACAAAUAACAAGUGGGAUACUUCCAUUCUCUCCCACCUACUCUAAAGCCUAAGAUGAAGCCCUCUUUCCUUGCCCUCAUUAGAAUCCUAAUAAGAGCCUCUAUCUAUCAAAAAAAAAAAAAAAAAUCCUACUAAGAGCCUCUAUCACCAAGAUGAAAAGGUUGGGACAUAGUUGAUCUCUUUGCCUCAAACCCUUGGAGUUCUAAACCAAUGGGGUUCCAUUGACUAGAAUAGAGAAUUUGACUGUAGAAAUUUACCAUUUAAUCCAUCUCACCUAAUAUUAAGAAGACAUACGAUCAUGUAAAUUGGUUCUUACGUCUAGACCAUAAACCCCUGAGAACACUCAGAUAAACUCACCUGCACAGUUUUUGAUCUAACGGAACAUAAAGAACACUCCUACCUCCAUACAAAUCAGUUCCAACACUUCGUUGAAUUGGGAUUUCUCUUGCUAACCCAUUAGCUUUCAUUAUUCCCCCUUUUAUGUUCCCACUCCUAAACUCCUCACCAAUUGCAUGGUCAUCUAAGUGGCUGCGCCACCUUUGUUUCUUGAAGACAAACUAAAUCA
This 1063-nucleotide long non-coding RNA is filed under the name Vitis vinifera (wine grape). RNAcentral's name for it is "long non-coding RNA (VVIN_LNC007747)". Lineage: Eukaryota; Viridiplantae; Streptophyta; Magnoliopsida; Vitales; Vitaceae. The record is from RNAcentral.